This 62-nucleotide transfer RNA is filed under the name Trigonopterus carinirostris. Its description in RNAcentral is "tRNA-Glu". The record is from RNAcentral. Lineage: Eukaryota; Metazoa; Arthropoda; Insecta; Coleoptera; Curculionidae.
AUUUUCAUAGUUUAAAAAACAUUACACUUUCAUUGUAAAAUUAGACCAAAGUCUUGUAAAUA